Molecule: unclassified non-coding RNA, 305 nt
Filed under: Hevea brasiliensis (rubber tree)
Lineage: Eukaryota; Viridiplantae; Streptophyta; Magnoliopsida; Malpighiales; Euphorbiaceae
Source: RNAcentral
AAAUAAAAUAAAAUAAAAACCUAAGCAGUGGUUUGACUUGAUUGUUGGAUCUAGCUUGCCUUAGAUACAACACAAUAUUGGAAGUUCUAGAUAAUGAAGACAGACUGUUAGGUUCUUCUGUAGCAGCCUCCGCCUACAAUGUACAGACAAAUGGACCAGUUAAGCUAGUCCAUCCAUCAAAAGAGAUGUCAAUCUAAUGAGUUAAAGAGGUGAUACAAGCAAUAGUUGUCAAGCUUUUCAGAAAGCUAUUUGCUCAACAGAAAAAGAGAAGAAUAAGGGCUUCGGAAGGAUACAGGAACAAACCU